AUUAGAGUUUGAUCAUGGCUCAGAUUGAACGCUGGCGGCAGGCUUAACACAUGCAAGUCGAGCGGGGUGAUGGUGCUUGCACUAUCACUUAGCGGCGGACGGGUGAGUAAUGCUUAGGAAUCUGCCUAUUAGUGGGGGACAACAUUUCGAAAGGAAUGCUAAUACCGCAUACGCCCUACGGGGGAAAGCAGGGGACCUUCGGGCCUUGCGCGAUUGGAUGAACCCAGGUGGGAUUAGCUAGUUGGUGAGGUAAUGGCUCACCAAGGCGACGAUCUCUAACUGGUUUGAGAGAAUGACCAGUCACACUGGAACUGAGACACGGUCCAGACUCCUACGGGAGGCAGCAGUGGGGAAUAUUGCACAAUGGGCGCAAGCCUGAUGCAGCCAUGCCGCGUGUGUGAAGAAGGCCUUCGGGUUGUAAAGCACUUUCAGCGGGGAGGAAGGGCCACUAGUUAAUACCUAGUGGCAUUGACGUUACUCGCAGAAGAAGCACCGGCUAACUCCGUGCCAGCAGCCGCGGUAAUACGGAGGGUGCAAGCGUUAAUCGGAAUUACUGGGCGUAAAGCGCGCGUAGGCGGCUAAUUAAGUCAAAUGUGAAAUCCCCGAGCUUAACUUGGGAAUUGCAUUCGAUACUGGUUAGCUAGAGUGUGGGAGAGGAUGGUAGAAUUCCAGGUGUAGCGGUGAAAUGCGUAGAGAUCUGGAGGAAUACCGAUGGCGAAGGCAGCCAUCUGGCCUAACACUGACGCUGAGGUGCGAAAGCAUGGGGAGCAAACAGGAUUAGAUACCCUGGUAGUCCAUGCCGUAAACGAUGUCUACUAGCCGUUGGGGCCUUUGAGGCUUUAGUGGCGCAGCUAACGCGAUAAGUAGACCGCCUGGGGAGUACGGUCGCAAGACUAAAACUCAAAUGAAUUGACGGGGGCCCGCACAAGCGGUGGAGCAUGUGGUUUAAUUCGAUGCAACGCGAAGAACCUUACCUGGCCUUGACAUACUAGAAACUUUCCAGAGAUGGAUUGGUGCCUUCGGGAAUCUAGAUACAGGUGCUGCAUGGCUGUCGUCAGCUCGUGUCGUGAGAUGUUGGGUUAAGUCCCGCAACGAGCGCAACCCUUUUCCUUACUUGCCAGCAUUUCGGAUGGGAACUUUAAGGAUACUGCCAGUGACAAACUGGAGGAAGGCGGGGACGACGUCAAGUCAUCAUGGCCCUUACGGCCAGGGCUACACACGUGCUACAAUGGUCGGUACAAAGGGUUGCUACACAGCGAUGUGAUGCUAAUCUCAAAAAGCCGAUCGUAGUCCGGAUUGGAGUCUGCAACUCGACUCCAUGAAGUCGGAAUCGCUAGUAAUCGCGGAUCAGAAUGCCGCGGUGAAUACGUUCCCGGGCCUUGUACACACCGCCCGUCACACCAUGGGAGUGGGUUGCAAAAGAAGUAGGUAGCUUAACCUUCGGGAGGGCGCUUACCACUUUGUGAUUCAUGACUGGGGUGAAGUCGUAACAAGGUAACCGUAGAAUC
RNAcentral lists this ribosomal RNA (1508 nucleotides) under uncultured bacterium. RNAcentral describes it as "bacterial SSU rRNA". It matches the Rfam family "Bacterial small subunit ribosomal RNA". The record is from RNAcentral.